Musa acuminata subsp. malaccensis (wild Malaysian banana) is the source of this 1539-nucleotide RNA transcript. It is a transcript of the gene named acyl-CoA-binding domain-containing protein 3, with no coding region annotated. The record is from RefSeq and is a predicted model, not a curated record. Lineage: Eukaryota; Viridiplantae; Streptophyta; Magnoliopsida; Zingiberales; Musaceae.
CUAUUUCGAUUUGAGUUUAAUCCGUCGUUGUUAAGUCUGGUUCCCUUUUAGCCGUGGAGUCCAAGCGAAGGCGAGGACGAUGGAGUUCUUUGUGGAGCUUCUCGUGACUGCUCUCAUAUCCGUGCUCCUCGCCUUCAUCAUCUCCAAGAUCGCCGCCGCUGCCGCCGCCGAUGACGCCGAUCUUCCCGAAGAUAAGUCGGAGGUGGUGCCCCUCGCCGUGGAUGUAGGGCCUCGGCUACAGGAGGCCUCCUACGUCGGCCGUGGGUUCGACUUGGAUCCGAUCGAGGAGGAAACGGAGGAGUGGGAGGAGAGAAGUGGAGUUGCUCUUGCUGAAAAUAAUCGCCUGGAGUUGGUGGUCGCUGAUGCCGAAGAACAGAGAUUGGGUCAAGAGGUUAGUGGGUUUGUCCUAGAGAAGGAAAUCAUAGAGGAGGAAUCCACUAAAAAGAAAGAGGACGAUGAAGCGGAGAUCAGGAUGAUUGUUGAUGGCUUAGUCAAGCAAGAAGAAAGAUUCGACAAGGAUGAAGCCAAUGUAGGAGGAGCAGUGGAGAAAGUUGUGGAAUUGGGUGGGGAAUACGCAGCAGAAGUGGAAGAUGUGAAGGUUUUGAAUGAGGAGAAGGGAACAUCAUUUCUUGAUGGGGAGGAUGAUUGGGAGGGGAUAGAAAGGAGCGAGCUUGAGAAAUUAUUCGGAGAAGCGACUGAGUUUGUUCAUAUCAAGAAAGGAGGGGAUGCAGUGUUGAAACUGAAUAAUGAGGCGCAGAUGCAGUUGUAUGGGCUGCAAAAAAUUGCCACUGAGGGGCCAUGCAAUGCGCAGCAACCCAUGGCCCUGAGAGUUUCUGCUCGCUCCAAAUGGCAUGCUUGGCAGAGGCUGGGGAACAUGAAUCCGGAGGUUGCUAUGGAACAGUAUGUAUGUCUUCUUACUGAAAAUAUCCCUGGAUGGAUGGCAGAAAGACACAAUGAGGAAACCAAAGGUUGUGAUGGUAACAGUCCUCUGGCAGCGGAGGCAUCUGGAACAGGCCUGCAUGAUUCAAAGGCAUAUGUUCACCAUAAAUCCGAAACUGAAAGGUUACCAACAGACUCUUCUUCCAUUCGAGGUGCCACUCACAAUGUAGAUACUGGCCCCUAACUUUUCAAACAAGGACUAGCAAAAAUAGUCCUUCUCAAUCUCCUCUCGCCCAGAGUGACAUUCUGAAGUUAUAUCACUAUUCUUGUGUGGCAUCCCAGAUUCCAUACCCUGUAUAUAUCGACAGCAAAGGUGUAUUAAUGGAACAUGUAUCAAGCAUGCCGAGGCUGCUCUCCCUUCUUCGACUCGAUCGAGAAACAAGAUUGGGCAUGAUUCCAGUUUCUCUAGGAGCCAUGUGACUGAUACCCAUCCUCAAGCAGGCGGUCAGGUAAUAAGCCAUUGUAAUGAGGUGGUUAUAGUGGUUUAGUCAUCUGUCAGUCUUAAUGAAAGCAAUGUAGUGAAAACGGUAGUUAAUGGCAAACGAUUCUUGUUAAGUUUGUCCAAACGCAGUACCACACAGCUACUGCUUGAUACCCUUA